This 301-nucleotide ribosomal RNA is filed under the name uncultured bacterium. Its description in RNAcentral is "partial 16S ribosomal RNA". It matches the Rfam family "Bacterial small subunit ribosomal RNA", at positions 509 to 807 of the family's 1533-position model. The record is from RNAcentral.
CAGUAGCCGCGGGAAUACGGAGGGGGCUAGCGUUGUUCGGAAUUACCGGGCGUAAAGCGCACGUAGGCGGCUUGGUAAGUUAGAGGUGAAAGCCUGGAGCUCAACUCCAGAAUUGCCUUUAAGACUGCCGAGCUAGCAGGUGAGAGAGGUAAGUGGAAUUCCGAGUGUAGAGGUGAAAUUCGUAGAUAUUCGGAAGAACACCAGUGGCGAAGGCGACUGACUGGACAAGUAUUGACGCUGAGGUGCGAAAGCGUGGGGAGCAAACAGGAUUAGAUACCCGUGUAGUCCCUGUCUCUUAUAC